AACGAACGCUGGCGGCAUGCCUAACACAUGCAAGUCGAACGAGACCUUCGGGUCUAGUUGCGCACGCGUUCGUAACGCGUGGGAACCUACCCUUAGGUUCGCCAUAAUUCACCGCAAGGGGUGCUAAUGCCAGCUAAUGUCAUCGCACCAAAGAUUUAUCGCCCUAGUGUGGGCCCGAGUUGGAUUAGCUUGUUGGUAGGGUAAAAGCCUAUCAAGGCGACGAUGCAUAGCUGGUCUGAGAGGAUGAUCAGCCACACCGGGGGGGGGACGCGGCCCAGAAUCCUACGGGAUGGAGGAGUGGGUGAUAGAGGACAAUGGGCGAAGGCAUGAUCGAGCAAGGACGGGUAAGUGAUGAAAGUCGUAGGGUAGUAAAGCUCUAUUAACCGGGAUGAUAAUGACAGUACCGGGAGAAUAAGCUCCGGCUAACUCCGUG
RNAcentral lists this ribosomal RNA (433 nucleotides) under uncultured bacterium. RNAcentral's name for it is "partial 16S ribosomal RNA". It matches the Rfam family "Bacterial small subunit ribosomal RNA", at positions 29 to 507 of the family's 1533-position model. The record is from RNAcentral.